Molecule: ribosomal RNA, 497 nt
Filed under: uncultured bacterium
Lineage: Bacteria
Description: partial 16S ribosomal RNA
Rfam family: Bacterial small subunit ribosomal RNA
Source: RNAcentral
GAUGAACGCUGGCGGCGUGCCUAAUACAUGCCAGUCGAGCGAACAGACGAGGAGCUUGCUCCUCUGACGUUAGCGGCGGACGGGUGAGUAACACGUGGAUAACCUACCUAUAAGACUGGGAUAACUUCGGGAAACCGGAGCUAAUACCGGAUAAUAUAUUGAACCGCAUGGUUCAAUAGUGAAAGACGGUUUUGCUGUCACUUAUAGAUGGAUCCGCGCCGCAUUAGCUAGUUGGUAAGGUAACGGCUUACCAAGGCGACGAUGCGUAGCCGACCUGAGAGGGUGAUCGGCCACACUGGAACUGAGACACGGUCCAGACUCCUACGGGAGGCAGCAGUAGGGAAUCUUCCGCAAUGGGCGAAAGCCUGACGGAGCAACGCCGCGUGAGUGACGAAGGUCUUCGGAUCGUAAAACUCUGUUAUUAGGGAAGAACAAAUGUGUAAGUAACCAUGCACGUCUUGACGGUACCUAAUCAGAAAGCCACGGCUAACUACGUG